Molecule: ribosomal RNA, 1347 nt
Filed under: Triticum aestivum (bread wheat)
Lineage: Eukaryota; Viridiplantae; Streptophyta; Magnoliopsida; Poales; Poaceae
Description: partial small subunit ribosomal RNA
Source: RNAcentral
AUGAUGGAUCCACGGUGGCGCCCGACGGUGAACGAGCGGGAGUUCAUCGAGCAAGCCCUCCAGUCGGACCUCCGCGUCGACGGCCGCCGCCCCUUCGAUUUCCGCAAGCUCAAAAUCGCAUUCGGAAGGGAGGAUGGCUCGGCGGAGGUGGAGCUCGGCGAAACGCGUGUGAUGGGUUAUGUGACUGCGCAAUUGGUCCAGCCGUACAAGGACAGGCCUAACGAGGGCACGCUGGCCAUAUUCACCGAGUUCUCGCCCAUGGCUGAUCCUGCCUUUGAGCCGGGGCGACCUGGGGAAGCAGCGAUUGAGUUGGGCCGUGUCAUUGAUCGUGGCCUAAGGGAGAGCAGAGCCGUGGAUAUGGAAUCCCUGUGUGUUGUUGCAGGGAAGCAUGUCUGGUCGGUGCGUGUUGACCUUCACGUUUUGGACAAUGAGGGGAAUCUCAUUGAUGCAGCUAACAUCGCUGCAUUGGCAGCUUUGUCUACAUUCCGGAGGCCUGAAUGCACGGUUGGUGGGGAUGAUGGUCAGCAAGUUACAGUACAUGACUCUGAGGUCAGGGACCCACUUCCCCUAACAAUUCAUCAUCUCCCUAUAGCUGUAACCUUUGCAUAUUUUGGUGACGGUAAUAUCAUGGUUAUCGAUCCAACAUACAAGGAAGAAGCUGUUAUGGGAGGAAGGAUGACAGCUACGAUUAACUCGAAUGGUGAUGUCUGUGCCAUUCAGAAAGCUGGUGGAGAGGGUGUCAUGUCUAGUGUUAUCAUGCAGUGUUUAAGGAUUGCUUCAGUUAAAGCUGCUGAUAUAACAAGCAAAAUAAAGAGAGAGGUCGAUGAUUACACUACUGAAAAGGCAUUGCAGAAAGUAAAGCGUACUCCAGCAUUAGUGGCUAAAAAAGUUAACGUUCCUGAUGUAACUAUGAAGGAGAGCACUCACAGUGCAUUGGAAAACCAAGCCUCGAAGGCACCCAAUGAUGGUCAGCAGAUAAGCAAAGGUGAUGAUGAUCAUCAAAAUAUAAAAAGGAUUUCUCCCUUGACUGUGGACCGAACUGUUAAACACAAACAAACAUCCACAUUCGUUGGUGGCCCAUCAAAUUGGGAUCCAUACUCCAAAGGAGUUUCAUUAAGCUCCCUCAGAAUCUCUCAGUUGCCUGAUCCACCAGCUAUACCAAACGACGACAAGCAUGAGGAUACCAAACCAAUGUUGACUGAAUCCAAUCCAGAGGUGAAAAGCGUGUCAAAUUCUGGAACGGCUGGAGAGUCAGAUGAGUUCAAGGAAAGCAGAUCACCUAAGAGUCUAAUAGAUGCUAUCAAGCCAAAACACAGAAGGAAGAAGAAACAACAUGGCAAUAGUUAG